Callithrix jacchus (white-tufted-ear marmoset) is the source of this 300-nucleotide unclassified non-coding RNA. It matches the Rfam family "Metazoan signal recognition particle RNA". From Rfam's summary of the family: The signal recognition particle (SRP) is a universally conserved ribonucleoprotein. It is involved in the co-translational targeting of proteins to membranes. The eukaryotic SRP consists of a 300-nucleotide 7S RNA and six proteins: SRPs 72, 68, 54, 19, 14, and 9. NCBI's taxonomy places the organism in Eukaryota, Metazoa, Chordata, Mammalia, Primates, Cebidae. The record is from Ensembl.
GCCAGGUGCAGUGGCGCAUGCCUGUAGUCCCAGCUACUUGGGAGGCUGAGGUUGGAGGAUCUCUUGAGUCCGGGAGUUCUGGGCUGCAAUGCGCUAUGCCGAUCGGGUGUCUGCACUACGUUCGGCAUCAGUAUGGUGACCUCCCGGGAGCAGGGGACCACCAGGCUGCCUAAGGAGGGGUGAACCGGCCCAGGUCAGAAACAAAGCAGGUAAAAACUCCUGUGCUGAUCAGUAGUGGGAUUGCGCCUGUGAAUAGCCAUUGCACUCCAGCCUGGGCAACAUAGCAAUACCUCGUCUCUU